AGAACGAACGCUGGCGGCAUGCCUAACACAUGCAAGUCGAACGCGUGGCCGGACUUCGGUUUGGCCAUGAGUGGCGCACGGGUGAGUAGCGCGUGGGAACCUGCCCUGUUGUGGGGGAUAACCGAGGGAAACUUCGGCUAAUACCGCAUACGCCCUGGUGAGCGAUCAUCGGGGGAAAGAUUUAUCGCAGCAGGAGGGGCCCGCGUCGGAUUAGCUAGUUGGUGGGGUAACGGCCCACCAAGGCGAUGAUCCGUAGCUGGUCUGAGAGGAUGAUCAGCCACACUGGGACUGAGACACGGCCCAGACUCCUACGGGAGGCAGCAGUGGGGAAUAUUGGACAAUGGGCGCAAGCCUGAUCCAGCAAUGCCGCGUGAGUGAUGAAGGCCUUCGGGUUGUAAGCUCUUUCGCCCGCGACGAUGAUGACGGUAGCGGGAGAAGAGCCCGGCUAACUCGUGCCAGCAGCCGCGGU
Molecule: ribosomal RNA, 469 nt
Filed under: uncultured bacterium
Lineage: Bacteria
Description: SSU rRNA
Rfam family: Bacterial small subunit ribosomal RNA
Source: RNAcentral